Salvia hispanica is the source of this 751-nucleotide long non-coding RNA. RefSeq lists it as uncharacterized. NCBI's taxonomy places the organism in Eukaryota, Viridiplantae, Streptophyta, Magnoliopsida, Lamiales, Lamiaceae. The record is from RefSeq and is a predicted model, not a curated record.
CACUUUUGUCUAUUUUUAUUCUUUUCUAGCUCAUUUAUCCUUAUUCAAUUAGGCUAUUUUUAAUAUAGCCAUUUAUUCCUAAUUCUUAUUAAAUUACCGCUCAAACUAAAUUUCUUCUCCUAAAUCCUUUCUACACGUUUUCUUCUCUUCAUCAAUAUCUCCACUCCCUAAAAUCUCUCCAACCACCAAAUCCAUGAAUAUUUCUAUCAAUUUUGCCUAUAAGAUCCCACAUUCACGUCCUUUUCAAACUCUACUGCAGUUCUUUCUUCAAUUUCACACGAAGUUCUGAAUCGAGAGAGAGCUGUGAUCUCAAUUCCCCCAGUUUUCUAACAAGUUUGAUUCUUCCUAAAGAUAUGGGAGUUGGAUUUCGUUUCUGUUUUGUAAGUGGUGGACGAUGACUGAGAGGGAGAGGGAAGGCGUGAGUUACAGUAGAGAGAAAAGAAGUUUUCGACAGUCAGAGAAGGGAAUACAUAGAUUGAGCGACGACGGACGGGGAGGAUGUUGAGCAGAAUUCAUGGAUUAUUUAUGGCUUGCUUAGUAUCGUUGGAUAUGUCGUGUCUUCAUACUCGGCAUUUUCCGUGUCUUGAACGCUUCCGCAGUGUGUCUUUUCUUUAAAAUUCUUUUAGCAUUGAGGGUCAACCACUUUUAAAUUGUUUACGUUCCAGUCUUUAUUUCCUUAGAGUUGGUACUUUGUUGAAAUGAUAGUACUUUGUUUUUCUAAGUUUUCAGUUAUUAAAAUAUUUUGGACCAA